This 253-nucleotide ribosomal RNA is filed under the name uncultured bacterium. Its description in RNAcentral is "partial 16S ribosomal RNA". It matches the Rfam family "Bacterial small subunit ribosomal RNA", at positions 524 to 776 of the family's 1533-position model. The record is from RNAcentral.
UACGUAGGGUGCAAGCGUUGUCCGGAAUUAUUGGGCGUAAAGAGCUCGUAGGCGGUUUGUUGCGUCGGCUGUGAAAGCCCGAGGCUCAACCUCGGGUCUGCAGUCGAUACGAGCAAACUAGAGUGUUGCAGGGGAGACUGGAAUUCCUGGUGUAGCGGUGAAAUGCGCAGAUAUCAGGAGGAACACCGGUGGCGAAGGCGGGUCUCUGGGCAACAACUGACGCUGAGGAGCGAAAGCGUGGGGAGCGAACAGG